This 45-nucleotide non-coding RNA is filed under the name Echinostoma caproni. Lineage: Eukaryota; Metazoa; Platyhelminthes; Trematoda; Plagiorchiida; Echinostomatidae. The record is from RNAcentral.
ACCCUGCUGGCGAAUCCCAAACAGGACGAAACGGCUGUUCAGUGU